Molecule: ribosomal RNA, 293 nt
Filed under: uncultured bacterium
Lineage: Bacteria
Description: partial 16S ribosomal RNA
Rfam family: Bacterial small subunit ribosomal RNA
Source: RNAcentral
GGAUUAGAUACCCUGGUAGUCCACGCCCUAAACGAUGUGCACUAAGUGUCGGCGGUUUACCGCCGGUGCCGCAGCUAACGCAGUAAGUGCACCGCCUGGGGAGUACGGCCGCAAGGUUGAAACUCAAAGGAAUUGACGGGGGCCCGCACAAGCGGUGGAGCAUGUGGUUUAAUUCGACGCAACGCGAAGAACCUUACCCAGGUUGGACAUGCUCGUAUUAGAAGGGUGAAAGCCUGACGAGGUAGAAAUACCAGCGAGCUCAGGUGCUGCAUGGCUGUCGUCAGCUCGUGCCG